AUUUAAAUAGCUUAAAAUUUUUUAAAGUUUAAUAUUGAAGAUAUUGAGAUGAUUAGUAAUCUUUAAAUA
Molecule: transfer RNA, 69 nt
Filed under: Amblyjoppa sp. ZJUH_2016002
Lineage: Eukaryota; Metazoa; Arthropoda; Insecta; Hymenoptera; Ichneumonidae
Description: tRNA-Phe
Source: RNAcentral